GCAGGCUGCAACUCGCCUGCAUGAAGUCGGAAUUGCUAGUAAUCGCGGAUCAGCAUGCCGCGGUGAAUACGUUCCCGGGCCUUGUACACACCGCCCGUCACACCAUGGGAGUCGGUAACACCCGAAGUCCGUAGCCUAACCGCAAGGGGGGCGCGGCCGAAGGUGGGUUCGAUAAUUGGGGUGAAGUCGUAACAAGGUACC
This 201-nucleotide ribosomal RNA is filed under the name uncultured bacterium. RNAcentral describes it as "partial 16S ribosomal RNA". It matches the Rfam family "Bacterial small subunit ribosomal RNA", at positions 1300 to 1500 of the family's 1533-position model. The record is from RNAcentral.